AUUGAACGCUGGCGGCAUGCCUUACACAUGCAAGUCGAACGGCAGCACGGGAGCAAUCCUGGUGGCGAGUGGCGAACGGGUGAGUAAUAUAUCGGAACGUGCCCAGUCGUGGGGGAUAACGUAGCGAAAGCUACGCUAAUACCGCAUACAAUCCAUGGAUGAAAGCGGGGGAUCGCAAGACCUCGCGCGAUGGGAGCGGCCGAUAUCAGAUUAGGUAGUUGGUGAGGUAAAGGCUCACCAAGCCGACGAUCUGUAGCUGGUCUGAGAGGACGACCAGCCACACUGGGACUGAGACACGGCCCAGACUCCUACGGGAGGCAGCAGUGGGGAAUUUUGGACAAUGGGCGCAAGCCUGAUCCAGCAAUGCCGCGUGCAGGAUGAAGGCCUUCGGGUUGUAAACUGCUUUUGUACGGAGCGAAAAGGCUUCCACUAAUACUGGGGGCUCAUGACGGUACCGUAAGAAUAAGCACCGGCUAACUACGUGCCAGCCGCCGCAGUAA
Molecule: ribosomal RNA, 500 nt
Filed under: uncultured bacterium
Lineage: Bacteria
Description: partial 16S ribosomal RNA
Rfam family: Bacterial small subunit ribosomal RNA
Source: RNAcentral